RNAcentral lists this long non-coding RNA (1057 nucleotides) under Numida meleagris (helmeted guineafowl). RNAcentral describes it as "lncRNA (ENSNMEG00000019129.1)". The record is from RNAcentral. Lineage: Eukaryota; Metazoa; Chordata; Aves; Galliformes; Numididae.
AAGAUACUUAUAGAAUGAUAUUUUGCUUCUUCCACCACUCUUCAUGCAGGUACUUACACCUAGGGACUUCACAGAUUUUCAUGGGGGCUAUGAAGAAUCCCGUAACAUUUAAUAGCAAAGAAGGUGAUCUUUCUUAAAACAUUGAGUAAAUUUCACUCAUUUAAUACAGAGAACUCCUCUAUGUUUACUAUUCUGCUGCACAACUGUAACCCUCUGACUCAAAAUAAGAAUCAUUAAAAUUAGGUAACAACUUUUUAUCUUUCCAUUUCUAUUUAUUCUCCUUAUGAAUCAAAAAUACCAUGAAGUUGAAUAGCUCUGUGCAUUAUCUGCUACCACUACUACAAAUGAAAUGUUUCUCUGACAUGCUGAAUCUUUAAUGUAGAGAUUUGGAUAAUGCAUAUCGUUAUUAAGUGUAACAGCCAAAAACAGUCCUAAUAACAGUAUAAACUCAUGGAUGAUAAACAGACUGAUAUUCUCAAAUAUUCUGCUUUAAAUCUGGGUGUCUGAUAGGUAGAUAACCAUAAAUAUGUUACAUUUUAAAUGUUCUCAGAUUAUUUGUAUCUGCCCACAUAUGUUGACCUGGAUCUGUUCAAAAGACUUAAGAUAUUAGAUUCAGCUUCAUGCUCUUUUUGGUGGUGACCAGCAAUAGGACAAGGGGCAACAGGUAUGAACUGCAACAGAGGUAUUUGCAUGCAAACAUGAGGAAAAACAUUUUCACUGUGAAGUUGACAGAACACUGAAAUGAACUGCCCAGGGAGGUUGUGGAGUAUCUUUCUCUGGAAGUAUUCAAAACCUGCCUGGUCAAUUUCCUGUGCAACCUACUCUAGGGAGUCUGCUUUAGCAGGGCUUUCAGACUAGAUGAUGUCCAGAGGUCCCUUCCAUCCUCUACAGUUCUGUGAUUCUGCAUGAUUCUGUAAACAUAUUUUUGAGCUUAUUUGCAAAUUUAUUCACUUUUUCAUUAAUAUAACAAUCUUGAAAGAGAUGAAAAGGUUCACUGAUGGAGUUUUCUCCUAUGAAUAGAAAUAAAUAGAAUUCGGUAAAUGGAAGACUUGGAGAA